GACGAACGCUGGCGGCGUGCUUAACACAUGCAAGUCGAACGGCAAGGCCCUGCUUUUGUUGGCUGCUCGAGUGGCGAACGGGUGUGUAACACGUGAGUAACCUGCCUUUUACUUUGGGAUACCUUCAGGAAACUGUGGCUAAUACCGGCUAGGUGCUCCUGCUGCCUGGUGGGGGUUGGACCGUUCCGGGGGUUGGCGAUGGACUGGCGGCUUAUCAGCUUGUUGGUGGGGUAGUGGCUUACCAAGGCUUUGACGGGUAGCCGGCCUGAGGGGGUGACCGGCGACAUUGAGACUGAGAGAAGGCAGAGACUGCGAAGGGAGGAAGAAGGGGGGAAUAAUGAACAAGGGGCGGAGGCCUGAUGAAGAAACGCCGCGUGCGGGAAGACGGCCUUGGGGGUGUAGAACGCUUUCGCCUGAGAAGAAGGGUGAGAGGAGGUAAUGGGAAAAGAAACAACGGCUAAAUAAGUG
Molecule: ribosomal RNA, 468 nt
Filed under: uncultured bacterium
Lineage: Bacteria
Description: partial 16S ribosomal RNA
Rfam family: Bacterial small subunit ribosomal RNA
Source: RNAcentral